RNAcentral lists this ribosomal RNA (799 nucleotides) under uncultured bacterium. Its description in RNAcentral is "bacterial SSU rRNA". It matches the Rfam family "Bacterial small subunit ribosomal RNA", at positions 8 to 796 of the family's 1533-position model. The record is from RNAcentral.
AGAGUUUGAUCAUGGCUCAGAUUGAACGCUGGCGGCAGGCCUAACACAUGCAAGUCGAGCGGUAGCACAAGAGAGCUUGCUCUCUGGGUGACGAGCGGCGGACGGGUGAGUAAUGUCUGGGGAACUGCCUGAUGGAGGGGGAUAACUACUGGAAACGGUAGCUAAUACCGCAUAACGUCUUCGGACCAAAGUGGGGGACCUUCGGGCCUCACGCCAUCAGAUGUGCCCAGAUGGGAUUAGCUAGUAGGUGGGGUAAUGGCUCACCUAGGCGACGAUCCCUAGCUGGUCUGAGAGGAUGACCAGCCACACUGGAACUGUGACACGGUCCAGACUCCUACGGGAGGCAGCAGUGGGGAAUAUUGCACAAUGGGCGCAAGCCUGAUGCAGCCAUGCCGCGUGUGUGAAGAAGGCCUUCGGGUUGUAAAGCACUUUCAGCGAGGAGGAAGGGUAGUGUGUUAAUAGCACAUUGCAUUGACGUUACUCGCAGAAGAAGCACCGGCUAACUCCGUGCCAGCAGCCGCGGUAAUACGGAGGGUGCAAGCGUUAAUCGGAAUUACUGGGCGUAAAGCGCGCGCAGGCGGUUUGUUAAGUCAGAUGUGAAAUCCCCGCGCUUAACGUGGGAACUGCAUUUGAAACUGGCAAGCUAGAGUCUUGUAGAGGGGGGUAGAAUUCCAGGUGUAGCGGUGAAAUGCGUAGAGAUCUGGAGGAAUACCGGUGGCGAAGGCGGCCCCCUGGACAAAGACUGACGCUCAGGUGCGAAAGCGUGGGGAGCAAACAGGAUUAGAUACCCCGGUAGUCC